RNAcentral lists this long non-coding RNA (453 nucleotides) under Chinchilla lanigera (long-tailed chinchilla). Its description in RNAcentral is "lncRNA (ENSCLAG00000022956.1)". The record is from RNAcentral. Lineage: Eukaryota; Metazoa; Chordata; Mammalia; Rodentia; Chinchillidae.
GCUUGUGUUAGCAUUUAUAGUAACGUUUAAAAGGAAAAAUACCCCACUACCAAUAAUUGCAAUGCGUCCAGCUGGAGUACUUGCUCUUCAGAAGAGAGAUUGAUAGUUGGAUCCUGAUCAUCUGAUCUACACUGGAACAGGACCACAACUUCCCUGAAGACAAUGCUAUGAGCCAAAAGGGAACAGCCUUGAAAUUGGUAUUGUACCUGUUUCCCUGGUCAUCUUUUACAGGAAGACAAACAUGACCUGUCCUUCUUGCCCUGAAGGAGACAAACAACAACUUCAUCUCAGACAUAGGAGAACUGAGACUGAGAAAAGGAGAAGACUUUUCAAAUCACCUUGAGGGACAGAGGCUGAACCAGAACUCUGGACUCCAUGAGCUGUCAUAAAUCCCCUGAAAACUGUCUUAGACACAGGUAAUGACACUACAGAGAGUCUCUUGCACACAGAAGC